GCCGGGAUCGCCUAGCCUGGUUAGGGCGGCGGCCUGCUAACAUGGCGGGCAGCCGUUGGGGGAAACCCCGCGCGGGUUCAAAUCCCGCUCCCGGCG
This is a transfer RNA of Metallosphaera yellowstonensis MK1, 96 nucleotides long. It matches the Rfam family "tRNA". Rfam says of the family: Transfer RNA (tRNA) molecules are approximately 80 nucleotides in length. Their secondary structure includes four short double-helical elements and three loops (D, anti-codon, and T loops). Lineage: Archaea; Thermoproteati; Thermoproteota; Thermoprotei; Sulfolobales; Sulfolobaceae. The record is from Rfam.